Molecule: ribosomal RNA, 1110 nt
Filed under: Triticum aestivum (bread wheat)
Lineage: Eukaryota; Viridiplantae; Streptophyta; Magnoliopsida; Poales; Poaceae
Description: partial small subunit ribosomal RNA
Source: RNAcentral
AUGUUCAUGAAUUGCAAUUUCAACAGCAACCUUUUGGAGAACGAAGCUGGAAGGAUAAGUUUUCCAUGGGCCAGGCCAUGCGAUGGAUGCCAUGCAGCACCAAGCACAGUAUACUGCUGUGCUGAUGCUGCAUAUCUCUGUGCAUCUUGUGACACACAGGUUCAUUCUGCUAACCGUGUGGCAUCACGCCAUGAGCGUGUGCGUGUCUGCGAAACCUGUGAGAGUGCACCAGCAGUGCUGGCAUGCCAUGCAGAUGCAGCAGCACUAUGUACCGCCUGUGAUGCACAGGUGCACUCUGCCAACCCAAUUGCUCAGAGGCACCAACGAGUGCCUGUGCUGCCACUCCCAGCUGUUGCCAUUCCAGCUGCCUCUGGCUUCGCGGAGGCAGAAGCUUCUGUCACUGCCCAUGGCGAUAAGGAAGAGGGAGAGGAAGUGGACUCUUGGCUCCUCAGAAGAAAUUCUGAUGACAACAAUUGUGCCAACAAGAUAGAUCGAUACUACAACCUUGUCGGAUACAAUAUGUAUUACGACAACAUCACUUGUGACCCAAGACCAGAAGAACAAUACAGAAUGCAAGAACAGCAUGUGCAGAACAGGUACAUCGAGAAGGAAGGGUGUGAGUGUGUAGUACCUCCACAAGUCGUCAUGGCAAGUGAGCAGCAAGAGAGCGAUUAUGGAACUAUAGGAGCAGGGCAGGCUGCCUCCGUUACCGCUAUGACCAGUACCUACACAGCUUCCAUCAGCAAUGACAUAUCUUUCUCAUCAAUGGAGGUGGGUAUAGUACCGGACAACUCCAGACCAGAUAUCUCAAACAGCAACAUCCUGACUAGCAGUGAAGCCAUGGAGCUCUCAGGCCAUUCACUUCAGAUGCCAGUGCACUUCAGCUCCAUGGACAGAGAGGCCAGGGUCCUCAGGUACAAGGAGAAGAAGCAGACGAGGAAGUUUCAGAAAACCAUAAGGUAUGCAACAAGGAAAGCAUAUGCAGAAGCACGACCACGGAUCAAGGGUCGAUUCGCUAAAAGAUCAGAUAUAGAGCAUGAGGAAGACCACAUGCUGUCACCACCAGCCCUACCAGAUACUAGUAGUUAUAAUACUGUUCCAUGGUUCUGA